Molecule: non-coding RNA, 644 nt
Organism: Xyrichtys novacula (pearly razorfish)
Lineage: Eukaryota; Metazoa; Chordata; Actinopteri; Labriformes; Labridae
Source: the annotation of a GenBank genome assembly
CUCAGAGAUAUUUUUAGCUUUUAUUGUUCUGGGACAUUAUUGUGGCGACAGAUGAACACAGAACACGUGUUUUGGUCAACAUCAUCCUUCUUUUAACCGAAAUAAUUCCAGAUAACUGACUUUCCUUUUCUUUUUGGCAACAAAUCUUCAUUUUCGGUGGUUUUCUCUUGUUCGUUGCUCAGUUUGCGAUCGUUGUUGUUGUUGUUGUUAGCGGUGUUGUGCCGAGAAACGCAUGUCCUCCGAGAAUUGCAUGCACCUCGCAAAACGCGCACCGCUUAUAGUAGAGUGGUCCACGGAAAUAUACAUUUUAAAACCCAUACAGUUCUUAUUUGUUGGGCUUAACAGUCAUGAGUAAUGUUCCGAAAGUAAUACUCAGAGGACACGCAUUUCUGGGCUCAACACCAGCAGCCAGCGAGUACCUCCAUGUGCAGAAAAUGUGCAGGGGUGGGUUUCCUCCUCUCUGAUUUUGAUUGACAGCUGGCAGGGUAGUCUGAUUGGCAACUGAGAACUGAGUCUGAUUGGCAACUGAGUAAAGGACAAAGGUGAUUGGUGGAUCGCUGCACAGCACAUGCAGAGUCACAUGCAGUGUAUCUCAGUCAGCUACCCUUGAAAUUAACUGAGUUCAUUCACCUCCGACAUCGCAG